This 128-nucleotide non-coding RNA is filed under the name Brassica oleracea var. oleracea. Lineage: Eukaryota; Viridiplantae; Streptophyta; Magnoliopsida; Brassicales; Brassicaceae. The record is from RNAcentral.
UUUUAUUGAGAAAGGAGAGAUGGUUGGCAUCUCCUCUGAGUCUCUGACAGAGACGGGAUUGACCUUCGGGUCCUGAACACAUCCGGUUAAGGCUCUCCACCCUCGGGUGGAUCUAACCCAAUUUUUUA